CGGUUCUCUGCAUAAGACACAACAAUCUGACAUAAAGUCACAUGUUUGCCAUUUCAAAACACUGCCAUUCAAAAUUACACUACAUGAGCUAAUUGGCCAAUACAUGUGCCACCUGGCCAAACACCUCAAUGGUUAAUUGUUACCACUUCAAUCAGGAAGUAAGCACUAUGAAAAGACCACAGGUGAGCACCUUUUGUUUUACAACAACAAUGGAAGCCGUUGCAGAGAGAGGAAAAGGGAGGGUGAGAAUGAGAGAGAGGGGGAGGAAGAGUGAGAGGUAGGAGUAGAGCUGGUAGAGGAGUUCAUGUCCAAAGAAGACAACAACUUUCAAAUGAAAUCAGAGCAACCUUAGUUGAUCAUGUCAUCAACCAUGGGCUGACAAUGCGAGAGGCUGGACAGAGAGUGCAGCCCAACUUGAGCCAUUGGAGUACAGGUAUGUAACCAAAAUUUCUUUCACACUAUGUAGUACACCCCAUGUCAUAGUGUAUCAGUUGGGUGACACUUGUUUACUUCAUGAAUGGCUGUCAUACAUUAACUGCACACAUUUCCUGUAGAAUUUACUCUACUGCAUUGUCAUAUAUAUAUAUUUUUUUCUUCCAAAUGACUGAGAGACGCAACCAUGGUGGAGGAAGGGGCCAAAUGUUCACCGGGGUACAUGAAGCUGCCAUUGUAAACUUAGUUUUGGAAAAUAAUGAAAUCAGAUUACGAGAAAUUCAAAGCCACAUCAUCCAAGACAACACCAUAUUCAACGAGUCACUGUCCACAUUGGCUCGCAUUCUCAAGCGAAACCAAAUCAGAAUGAAACAACUUUAUAAGGUGCCGUUUAAGAGAAACUCUCAAAGAAACAGAGGUCAGACGAGUAUAUGUGGAUGGAGUACUGGAAAUGGAUGCUCAUGCAAUCCCACAUCUUUAUAGAUGAGGCUGGGUUCAACCUUGCAAAGACCAGAAAAGACCAGAAGAAGGGGGAGAAACGUCAUUGGCCACAGAGCCAUUAUAGAUGUUCCUGGCCAACGUGGUGGGAACAUCACAAUGUGCGCUGCCAUCUCCAAUACACAUGGUGUCCUCCACCGUCAUGCCAACCUUGGACCAUACAACACAGCCCAUAUUCUCACAUUUCUGGACAGACUCCACAACAUUCUCAUACCAUCAAAGAACCCGAUACGUUGUAGUAUGGCACAACGUGAGCUUUCAUCGUGCAGCCCCAGUCCAAAACUGGUUUGCUGACCACCCACUAUUUCUCGUGGAAUACCACCCACCAUACUCACCAUUUCUCAACCCCAUAGAAGAGUUAUUUUCGGCAUGGCGGUGGAAGGUAUACGACCGGCAGCCCUUUGUGCGCAUGCCUCUUGUACAGGCUAUGUGAUGAGAUUGAUGUGGGUGCGAUUCAGGGAUGGAUAAGGCACUCAAGGCGCUUCUUCCCUCGAUGUCUGGCAAGGGAAGAUAUUGCCUGUGAUGUGGACGAGGCGUUGUGGCCAGACCCAGCUGUGCGGAAAGAUGCUGCCUAAUUAUUCUUCUUGCCUCUUUUCUAUAUUUUUUUUCUGCCCAUUAUUUAUUUUUUUUCUGCAAUUUUCUUUUUCAGUUUUGUUUUUUUGUCAGCAUAUUUUUGUUCAGUCCAAUGUAACUAUCUGCUGUGCACUGACUUGUUUGGUGAAAAAAUAAAAUGUUUCAACAGCAUGUGUGUAUCUGCAAAUAUUUCUGUGCAUCUGAAGAAUUUUCUACAAUUUAAACUAUUUUAGUAUUAUGGCAAAGCAUACUAAAGAUGAGAGUGCUUUUCAUUAUGCCCAACAGUGUG
This 1792-nucleotide long non-coding RNA is filed under the name Salmo salar (Atlantic salmon). RNAcentral's name for it is "lncRNA (ENSSSAG00000111459.1)". The record is from RNAcentral. Lineage: Eukaryota; Metazoa; Chordata; Actinopteri; Salmoniformes; Salmonidae.